AGUGGCAGGAGAAACAGGCGCAGAGCUGGUGAAUAGCACUCACGCCGAGAGCCCACCCCGUGCUGAGAUAGAGCAACACAGGGCUGUCUUUCCUGCUCCAGAGCCUGUGAGGAGUUUGGUCUAUAUCAAGAGGCUGGGUUCUGUCAUGUCGGAAGCAGGACCCCUGAUGCAGCGGUUCCUCCAGGGGCAGCCCAGAGUCUUGGGGGCCCUCUUGCUGUUGGUGGGGCUGCUGCAGAUGGCCUUUGGUGUCCUCUUGGCCAUUUCCCCCUGCGUCUAUAGGGAUGAGCUGCACGUCCACUUUUACUCAGCAGUGCUGUUGCUCUUGGCCGGCAUCAUCACUCUGGCUGCAGACACAGCCCACAGCCUGGCUCUGGUGAAAGCCUGCCUGGUCAUCGACAUCAUCUGCACGGUGGUGGUGGGCGUGAUCAACUUAUUCUACCUGGUGGACUUGGUGUACGAUCCCCAUAAUCGGUACAUCCGGUGUCCUUCCAGCAACAGGUUGCACUGCAGGCGGCUGUACCAGGUCUUGCACUAUUGCACGGGCAUGCGGGUCAUCAUCCUGAUCUUAACUUCGCUGGGGUUCUUCGUUUCCAUUGCCCUGGCAGCCUUCGGGUGCAAAGCAGUGUGUCGCCAGAACUCUGCCGAUGAUGUGCCAGUCGCUACCCUGACAAAUCUGCCUGCUUCCCAUGAGGCCACCGCGGAGCCAGAGCCUGUGGUGUCAGAGGGACCCACAGCAUGAGUGUCCCCUGGUGGAGAGACCGACAGCCCCCCUCAGUGAGCAGCUACCCCGUGCCCCUCAAGUCCUGGUAUUUGAUCUUCCACAAGAAGUCUACCAGGGGCAUCUCCUCCUGCUUUAAUGAGUAGGUCUAUCAGCGAAGCUGCAGGCAUGGAUCAUGACAUGCAUUAUUGCUCCAAAGAAAUGGCUUUGCGGCUGAUUGAGGUGUGCUGCCGUUCCCCGCAGGAUGGUUUCUUAACAUGUAGAACACCCCCUUCUUCAAAAAAAUAAACAAUCCAGUUUCACCUUG
Caretta caretta (loggerhead turtle) is the source of this 1025-nucleotide RNA transcript. It is a transcript of the gene named membrane-spanning 4-domains subfamily A member 4A-like, with no coding region annotated. The record is from RefSeq and is a predicted model, not a curated record. Lineage: Eukaryota; Metazoa; Chordata; Testudines; Cheloniidae.